Molecule: non-coding RNA, 1702 nt
Organism: Doryrhamphus excisus (bluestripe pipefish)
Lineage: Eukaryota; Metazoa; Chordata; Actinopteri; Syngnathiformes; Syngnathidae
Source: RefSeq, a predicted model, not a curated record
GCGCUGUUCAGGGCAGACUUCAUGUUGGCUUUGUACCAGGCACCUUGCGGGGCAACUAAGUGGUCCUCAGUAAGACCCCAGUUUAGCCAUUCCAGCUUGUUUUUGUACUACAUACGUCUGUCUGCGUUCGUGCUAAAGUGACGUCACAUCGCAUUGCAUCCUUGGUAAUUUCAACAUUUUUCAACAUUCAUCCGGCAACUUCUCCCAUUCUCCCUCAAAUAGUUAGUAUGAGUAGUCGAAACCAGACUCGUCAAGACAUUAUGCUACUCACAAAUCAACCUGUUGGAUGGAGAAUUGGACUGUAAAGGAAUAAAAGCCACAAAGUUCUGCUACUGUGACCGGACUCACUCUCUGACAGGAGUUCUGGUGUGGAUGAGGUGCUCCGCUCUCCCCCAACACACCAACUGCAAAACUACAUUACUGGGGCCAGAUUACUCCAUCAUAAUCAUGUGGUGUCCAAUCAUCACAAUUAUUAUGACAGACAAAUGUGCAUCGAUGGCGGCGCAGCUUACAAGGUUUCAGAUCUUCAUUAGACACCACCUCUGAGCACUACGGACAGACAGCGCACCUGCAGUACUGCCACGGCCCACCAGGGGAAUUACUGCUCUAUGGGAUUUAAAUCGUCCGUUUGACGACCCUGCACCACCUGAAGCACCAGUGUUCCAUUGAAUGAAAAAGCACCACAGAUCAUGAUGGAAUGGUUUGGUUGGGGUGUAACCCGCCUCUUGCCCGAAGACAACUGGGAUAGGCUCCUGCAUACCUGCGGCCCUAGUGAGAAUAAGUGGCAUAGAAAAUGGAUGGAUGGAUUCAACCUAGUGACCAUAGGGUAUGAUCUGACGAGUGUAUAAAAAAAAUAAAAGCGAGAGAAAAGGGAUAGCCACAAAGACGUGGAGCAUCAUCGCUUUCUUCUCGGCUUCUCUCACUUCAAAGACGAGAUAUGAAGAAUUUACGGCGGUGAAUCUUUAAAGCACACGUGGGAUGUUCUCAAAUGACGGCGGCGGCUGCUGCUGCUGCUGCUGCUGCUGCAGGGGAGACAGACAGGCAGGCAGCGAGGAGCAACGACGACACGCUCUUCACUUCUUUUAUGCGCAUGUUAAAUGUCAGAAAUAAGGGAGGUGAGCUUACGGACUUAUUUGUGUUUUGACUUUGCACAACUCCGCGCUCCAAACUUUCCAAACUGACCCUCAAUGCACCUCACAUAGAAGUUUAAAAAACUAUGUAGUGUUUUUGUUUGGAAUGGUGAACAUUUCUUGGUAUAUAGCGUGGGAUCGGCAUAAGGAGGACUCCUGUGGCGUCCCCCAGGGGCCUGUUCCUGAGCCCCCUUCCGUACAUUAUGUAGUCACAAUUAUCUUCCUACUCACUUGUGUGGCCGACAAUAACCUGUUGAAAUUAUCUUGUUUUUGUCUCAUGGCGGUUUUCUUUUGCUUUAGGGCAGGGGUCUCAAACUCAAUUUACUUGGGGGCCACUGGAGCUCGGGUCUGGGUGGGACUGGGCUGCAUCAGGUUUUCCAAAAAACAAAAAAAAAAACAAAAAAAAAAAAAACUUUUCUACAAGAAAAGCUCGGAUAAAACAUUCCACUGUUCUCAAAUAUCUUACUUUUUAUUUUUCUACACAAAAUAAGAUGAAAAAUAAAUAAACAAAUCAAGAAUAAAGAAAAUUAAUCAGUAAUAAAUAUAAUAAUAAUAAUAAUAAUAAUACGGCA